UAAUACGUAGGGGGCAAGCGUUGUCCGGAAUCAUUGGGCGUAAAGCGCGUGUAGGCGGUUCGAUAAGUCUGCUGUGAAAGUCCAGGGCUCAACCCUGGAAAGCCGGUGGAUACUGUCGGACUAGAGUGCGGAAGAGGCGAGUGGAAUUCCCGGUGUAGCGGUGAAAUGCGCAGAUAUCGGGAGGAACACCAAUUGCGAAGGCAGCUCGCUGGGACGUUACUGACGCUGAGACGCGAAAGCGUGGGGAGCAAACAGGAUUAGAUACCCUGGUAGUCCACGCUGUAAACGAUGGGCACUAGGUGUGGGGGGUGUCGACUCCCUCCGUGCCGAAGCUAACGCAUUAAGUGCCCCGCCUGGGGAGUACGGCCGCAAGGCUA
RNAcentral lists this ribosomal RNA (377 nucleotides) under uncultured bacterium. RNAcentral describes it as "bacterial SSU rRNA". It matches the Rfam family "Bacterial small subunit ribosomal RNA", at positions 521 to 896 of the family's 1533-position model. The record is from RNAcentral.